UAAUGUUGCAACUACAAGAGCAGUAAGUU
Molecule: non-coding RNA, 29 nt
Filed under: Homo sapiens (human)
Lineage: Eukaryota; Metazoa; Chordata; Mammalia; Primates; Hominidae
Source: RNAcentral